UACAGAGGGGGCAAGCGUUAUUCGGAAUUAUUGGGCGUAAAGGGCGCGUAGGCGGCCUGGCAAGUGGAAGGUGAAAUCCCUCGGCUUAACCGAGGAACUGCCCUCCAAACUGCUUGGCUUGAGUCCGGGAGAGGUGAGUGGAAUUCCCAGUGUAGCGGUGAAAUGCGCAGAUAUUGGGAGGAACACCAGUGGCGAAGGCGGCUCACUGGACCGGAACUGACGCUGAGGCGCGAAAGCGUGGGGAGCAAACGGG
This 253-nucleotide ribosomal RNA is filed under the name uncultured bacterium. Its description in RNAcentral is "partial 16S ribosomal RNA". It matches the Rfam family "Bacterial small subunit ribosomal RNA", at positions 524 to 776 of the family's 1533-position model. The record is from RNAcentral.